RNAcentral lists this ribosomal RNA (253 nucleotides) under uncultured bacterium. RNAcentral's name for it is "partial 16S ribosomal RNA". It matches the Rfam family "Bacterial small subunit ribosomal RNA", at positions 524 to 776 of the family's 1533-position model. The record is from RNAcentral.
UACGUAGGUGGCGAGCGUUGUCCGGAUUUACUGGGCGUAAAGGGCGUGCAGGCGGUUUGUUAAGUGCAGGGUGAAAGCUCCCGGCUCAACUGGGAGAGGUCCUUGCAUACUGGCGAACUCGAGGGAGGCAGAGGAAAGUGGAAUUCCCGGUGUAGUGGUGAUAUGCGUAGAUAUCAGGAGGAACACCGGUGGCGAGGGCGGAUCUCUGGGACGGUACCGACGCUGAGACGCGAAAGCGUGGGGAGCGAACAGG